Molecule: ribosomal RNA, 303 nt
Filed under: uncultured bacterium
Lineage: Bacteria
Description: bacterial SSU rRNA
Rfam family: Bacterial small subunit ribosomal RNA
Source: RNAcentral
UGGGGAAUAUUGGGCAAUGGGCGCAAGCCUGACCCAGCAACGCCGCGUGAAGGAAGAAGGCUUUCGGGUUGUAAACUUCUUUUACCAGGGACGAAGAAAGUGACGGUACCUGGAGAAUAAGCCACGGCUAACUACGUGCCAGCAGCCGCGGUAAUACGUAGGUGGCGAGCGUUGUCCGGAUUUACUGGGUGUAAAGGGCGCGUAGGCGGGAAUGCAAGUCAGAUGUGAAAUCCAUGGGCUUAACCCAUGAACUGCAUUUGAAACUGUAUUUCUUGAGUGUCGGAGAGGUAGACGGAAUUCCUA